Molecule: ribosomal RNA, 403 nt
Filed under: uncultured bacterium
Lineage: Bacteria
Description: partial 16S ribosomal RNA
Rfam family: Bacterial small subunit ribosomal RNA
Source: RNAcentral
AUUGAACGCUGGCGGCAGGCCUAACACAUGCAAGUCGAGCGAGCGGCGGACGGGUGAGUAAUGUAUGGGGACUGCCCGAUAGAGGGGGAUAACUACUGGAAACGGUGGCUAAUACCGCAUACUAUCGGAUAACCCAUAUGGGAUUAGCUAGUAGGUGGGGUAAAGGCUCACCUAGGCGACGAUCGCUAGCUGGUCGGAGAGGAUGCUCAGCAACACUGGGACGGGGAAACGGCCCAGACUCCUAGGGAGGCAGAAGUGGGAAAUAUUGCAAAAGGGGCGAAAGCCUGAUGCAGCAAUGCGGCGUGUAUGAAGAGGGCCUUAGGGUUGUAAAGUACGUUCAGCGGGGAGGCGUUACCCGCAGAAGAAGCAACGGCUAACUCCGUGCCAGCAGCCGCGGUAAUUC